GGGCCCGCACAAGCGGUGGAGCAUGUGGUUUAAUUCGACGCAACGCGAAGAACCUUACCAGGUCUUGACAUCCCCUGACAACAUCAGAGAUGAUGUAUUUUAUCUUCGGAUAGACAGGGAGACAGGUGGUGCAUGGUUGUCGUCAGCUCGUGUCGUGAGAUGUUGGGUUAAGUCCCGCAACGAGCGCAACCCUUGUUCUUAGUUGCCAGCAGGUAAAGCUGGGCACUCUAAGGAAACUGCCGGUGACAAACCGGAGGAAGGUGGGGAUGACGUCAAAUCAUCAUGCCCUUUAUGACCUGGGCUACACACGUGCUACAAUGGCCUGUACAAAGGGUAGCGAAGCAGUGAUGUGGAGCCAAUCCCGAAAAGCAGGUCUCAGUUCGGAUUGCAGGCUGCAACUCGCCUGCAUGAAGUCGGAAUCGCUAGUAAUCGCGGAUCAGCAUGCCGCGGUGAAUACGUUCCCGGGCCUU
This 470-nucleotide ribosomal RNA is filed under the name uncultured bacterium. Its description in RNAcentral is "bacterial SSU rRNA". It matches the Rfam family "Bacterial small subunit ribosomal RNA", at positions 917 to 1382 of the family's 1533-position model. The record is from RNAcentral.